GAUGAACGCUCGCUACAGGCUUAACACAUGCAAGUCGAGGGGAAACGGCAUUGAGUGCUUGCACUCUUUGGACGUCGACCGGCGCACGGGUGAGUAACGCGUAUCCAACCUUCCCAUUACUGUGGGAUAACCUGCCGAAAGGCAGACUAAUACCGCAUAGUCUUCGAUGACGGCAUCAGAUUUGAAGUAAAGAUUUAUCGGUAAUGGAUGGGGAUGCGUCUGAUUAGCUUGUUGGCGGGGUAACGGCCCACCAAGGCUACGAUCAGUAGGGGUUCUGAGAGGAAGGUCCCCCACAUUGGAACUGAGACACGGUCCAAACUCCUACGGGAGGCAGCAGUGAGGAAUAUUGGUCAAUGGACGGAAGUCUGAACCAGCCAAGUAGCGUGCAGGAUGACGGCCCUAUGGGUUGUAAACUGCUUUUGUAUGGGGAUAAAGUUAGGGACGUGUCCCUAUUUGCAGGUACCAGACGAAUAAGGACCGGCUAAUUCCGUG
RNAcentral lists this ribosomal RNA (492 nucleotides) under uncultured bacterium. Its description in RNAcentral is "partial 16S ribosomal RNA". It matches the Rfam family "Bacterial small subunit ribosomal RNA", at positions 28 to 507 of the family's 1533-position model. The record is from RNAcentral.